CCAGCAAACACUACCACUAAGCUAUGCCUCAGCCCGUCAUGGAGAGGUUCUUAUCUCUCCCUCAUCGGUGAGGGAGCUGAGGCUCAGAAGAGCACAAACUCUCCCAAGAUCACAUCCCUGGCAAGAACUGAAGGGCCAGAGGUGGAGAGCCUGGUCUUCAGAGCUCCGCAGAACAACCCCAGGACCCCAUCCUUCCUCAUUUCCAUCACACCCGCCUUCUCCUCCAUCCUCAGCUCGCUGACAAGACGACCUCAGAGCCUCAGGACUCUCAGGAUGGGUGGGAUCAUGUGAAUCGCCCUCGGUGAGCUUCGGGCUUGCAACCAGUGAGGACAGUGACUGCCUCCUCGGAGACACCCCUGCGACAUCGGAACUGAGCCUAGAUCUGUCCCUCUGUGCACUGGUACGCCAGUCUUUCACACCCCCCAGGUUCCCAUCUGAAAUUCAAGGACACAGAAAAUGACGCUCGGGUUCCUCUUCCCUACCAUGCAAGUUCAGAUCUUGGGCCGACGAGGUGAGAAUGAGUCAGGAGACCGGAGUGUUUUUAGAAGCAACAGUGACAGCAGCCAUGUUGGAAACAGCCUGUUCCGAUUCGGCUAUGAAGUGUCCCCUCAAAGGGCUCGGCCCCCAGCUGGAGUACCUGUAUCUCUAAUAUAGGACUGUACUAUUGUUUUCAAUGACUGAAUCAAAAAGGCUGUCACCUCCUCAGUGGCUUGAUCCACGGAUGAAAUUAUAACAAUGCUGUUAUCAGGAGGGCGUGGUAACCCCAAGGACAGGGCCUAGAUGGAAUUCACCCGAGUUCCUCUCUCUGACCAGAAGUGCCUCUGCCUGGCUAUUCUCUCCUGCCUAGCUAUUGGCCAUUCAGCUCUUUAUUAAACCAAUCACGGCGACACAUCUUCACACAGUGUCAACAAAUAUUCCGCAACAGUUGACUAGAUACAGAAACCACUACAACCAGACUGAAGAAGGGAAACUGUCUGCAAGGUGACUGAGGGAGCUGUAGGGAGCUGUGGGAACCAGGCCUCCUUCACCAGGCUGCCCUGGGCCCUUGGUGCCAGGCUACCGCUGUCCCAGCCCAGUCAGCUCCUGGAGUUUGAGAACAGCCAGAGAGGAGAUGCCCACCUGUCCUUAGAGACUUUCUGCAGUCCCUGCUCCUGGUCCUGGACACUCCAUGCCUGCCUUACCACACUGCCACGUUUGCAAGCCCAGGGCAUGGAAGCCUGAACACCAGACACUGAAGCAAUUCAGAACUUCCCAGUCAAGAUCACUAAGUGAGCGAAAACUAAAGCCAUUUCUGCACUCCGGGCUCUUCACAGGGAGUAGAAACCUACAGUUACCUCAGUGGUGCCACCACUGAGCCCAGAGGAAGCUACGGGCAGGAAAAGCUGGCGGCUCGGCUUCAGCAUCCGGGAACUGGAGUCACGGUCACCGAUUCAUGUUGGCAGGUGGCUGAAUGAGAGCCUUGUACGGAGCCUGCUAAAGAACCAGGGGUGGACAUGGCUUGCUUUCUAUGCAGAAACAUACCUCUUGCCCCCAGCCAGAGACAGCGACGGAGGUGUCUGCAGGACUGGAAACGGCUUCAUGUCCAGUAUCUAGAAUUCAGUCUCUGCUCAGGGCAGGAACAUUAUAGCAUUAACCUAAGAUGAAAUGUGCAGCCAGAGUGCGCAAGCAGGAAACCAUGCGGUGAGGACACUGCCCUGCACAGAGGUCUGAGAAAGUGACCAGAUAUAUGAGUCCAUCUGCUGCUAGGGAAAAGAUCCAGGAAACAGGCUGGGUCCUGGUGGAGGACACACACAUUCUUAAAAUCCUCACACCGGAAAUUAGGGACGGCAUUCAUAAAAUAAAACCAGAAAACUAGGAAACAAGAACAGGCAAGAUGAGUCAGUGGGUAAAGGCAGCUGACAACCUGAAUCCCACCCCCAGGACCUGCAUGGGCAAAGAAAGCCAGCUCCCAACAAGUUAUCCUCAGACCUGUCUACAUAUAUGGCACAGCAUGUUAAGAUAAAAUUAAGAAAAAUUUAGGGGAAAAUAGGCAGAUAUUGAAAAGAAUUGUAAAUACUCUGAAUUAAGAAUAACCAUGGGGUGGACUGGACAGGCUUGGGGGUUGAAUGCUGGUCUCCAGCUGGGAGUACCACUUGGGGAGAUGGUGGGAACUUUAGGAAGUGGGGAUCAGCUGGAGGAAGUGGUCGCUGGGGCCAGCCUUCUGGUCGACCUUCUUUCUCAGCUUCCUGUCUGCCAUGGGGUGAGCAGCCUCUUCCAUGCCGCUGCUGCCCCUGUGGUGUUCUGCCUUCCACAGGCCCAGAAUCAGCGGAGCCAAGGGUGAGGGACUCAACUCUGAAACCGUGAGCCAAGAACGGCUCCCCCUGAGACGUUUGUGUCAAGUAUUCUUUUUGUAAAUUUUCAAGAUUUAUUUAUUUUAUGUGUGUGAGUGUUUUGCCUGCAUGUAUGUUUGUGUAUGUGCAUGUGCAUG
Long non-coding RNA from Peromyscus leucopus (white-footed mouse), 2467 nucleotides. RefSeq lists it as uncharacterized. The record is from RefSeq and is a predicted model, not a curated record. Lineage: Eukaryota; Metazoa; Chordata; Mammalia; Rodentia; Cricetidae. The transcript has 3 exons.